Anastrepha ludens (Mexican fruit fly) is the source of this 1411-nucleotide long non-coding RNA. RefSeq lists it as uncharacterized. The record is from RefSeq and is a predicted model, not a curated record. The transcript has 4 exons. Lineage: Eukaryota; Metazoa; Arthropoda; Insecta; Diptera; Tephritidae.
AGCUGCAUUUUUCGUCGUAGAUAUGAACAACGUCAAAAUGACAUGCUUUGUUUGUAUUUGUAUGUUUAUGAUUUGUCUAGUUGUAAUUUUUAUUGGGUGAAUGGUUAUUUCACCCUUGCGAGCACAUUAUAAUUCAAUAUUAUGCACGUUUGCUGGGCUCUUUGUGGAAAUGGAACAUUUAUUCCCAUAUGCCAAUUUAUUGACCUUUAAUUCAAUUCAUUUAAAAUUUUAAGACAAUUUAUUUUGGCUGCAGCAUUGCUAGACCGUGGGGGAUCAUACAAUGUACUGGUUCGACUCGCUGAUUAUCGAAAAGACGUACAAAGAUUGAUUAAUGCAGGUCCACAAGAAUUGGCAAUAAUUUUAUCUGCUGGUGGUUUAUAUACUGCUGCAUUAAAGCUACUUACUGGCUUCGGAUUAUCACCUCUUCCCAUAUGGGUACGCCGCAUUACCAAGGAGGGCGCCAAUGAAGCAUGGACGUGGCUACAAGAAAAUGAACUGGCUGAUUUUUAGAAAAUUCUACGUUUUCUUCUAAAUUGGCGCGAUAACCGCUUACGCGAUUUUGGCCGAGUUCAACAAAGCGCGCCAGUCGUUUUUUUCUCGUACUAACCGGCGCCAAUUGGACACACCAAUUGAAGCCACAUCUUUCCUCCUGAUCUUUCCAACGUAGAGGAGGCCUUCCUCUUCCUCUGCUACAACCAGCUGGUACCGCAUCGAAUACUUUCAAAGCCGGAGCGUUUGUAUCCAUUCGGACGACAUGACCCAGCCAACAUAGCCGCUCGAUCUCUAUUCGCUGGGCUAUGUCUAUGUCGUCGUAAAGCUCCUACAGCUCAUCGUUCCAUCGCCUGCGAUAUUCGCCAUUGCCAACGUGCAAAGGUCAAAAAAUCUUAACGGCGCCUGCGGCUUUGUUAUUCUUUAGCCACGUUAUCGCCAUUCCCACCUCGUCAUGGUCGGGUAGCGGAACGACAAUCCCGUCGUCAACGAUUGGGGUAUCGGGAUCUUCACAUUCUCUGUGGCAUGCGCAGCUAUCACUGUAUAACAGGUUCGAGUAGUGUUCCCUCCAUAAUUUAAGAUUGCUCUGGAUGUCAGUCACCAGUUCGCCGUCUUUGUUCUUAGAGGAAAACGCCCCAGUCUUAAAACCUGACUAGAAGUUAGCGAAUUGUCCAGAGCUGUUGAAUUUGUUCGUCAAACAUAAUCCCUUAAUUGAAGCUGCCGAAUUACCACAUGCGCUGUUGGAGGCUGGAAGCGAAUAUACAUUAGAUCUUUUGUUGCAUGGAUUGAAAUUGAAUGUUAAUUCAGAUAUCGCGUUUAAGCUGGUGAUAACAGAUUUAGAGAACGUCAUACAGACCUAUAUCGAUACCGCACAGCGCACAGCAGAGGAUAAAAUCUAAAUGGAUUAAAUAAAAGUAAAAUA